Molecule: long non-coding RNA, 1845 nt
Filed under: Harpegnathos saltator (Jerdon's jumping ant)
Lineage: Eukaryota; Metazoa; Arthropoda; Insecta; Hymenoptera; Formicidae
Description: uncharacterized LOC112589911
Source: RNAcentral
GGACCACCCUCGUAUAGCUACAAACCCCGAGGCAAUUUUCCAGGUAACCUCAAUUUUGGGACAGGGGAAGUGUCUGAUUGACAGAGAAUGACCCAUAUAUAUAUAUAUAUUUUUUUUUUUUUAAAGAGCAGUAUCCGCUGAACCAAAAUCGCUAAGAGACAAUAAUUGACUAUUUAAAGAUAAAUCAAGAAGGAUGAUGAGCAAAACAGGACAAAUAUUAAUUACGUCAAUGUUACAAUGGUAAGUUUUUCAGAUUAUAUUUUAUUGCGUGUGCAUGGUAAACAUUGUUUAUCUUUUUUCUUUUUAAACCGUCAUCUUUUUAAACUGUCAACCUGACAGUUAUAUGUAUGAAUGUUUGGCGAACUGUAGUAAAAUACACUAAUUAAAAGUAUCGCAUGAAAAUCAUAUUGUUGCAUUCGUUUGUAAAAACUUGUCCUUCAAGAUUCAUCCUAUUAGAUAUGAAACGAUAUCUUCCUAAAAUCCUUCGUUCGUAAGUUAUCCAAUGCCGGUACUCGAUGAAUGUCAAUUUUAAACGACACAAGAACGUAUGUAUUGUCUUUAUACCAGAUAUUUCACUAUUAAAACAGAUAUUAAACAAAAUGUUUAUAACAUGCUUUAUAAAAUUUUUAUAAAAUUGGAUUAGUUAUAUGUAAGAGUACAAUUAAUAAAAACGCCGCCAUCGCAUCCCUCUUGACAAACUCGUUUUUCUAUGAGAGGAAAGUAAGAUGUGUUCAAAACAUAAUUAUACUCUUCCCCCGAAAGAAAACUUGUACUUUCAAUUUUAUACUAAAAACUAAACGUUUUAUUGCGAAUAAUAAAAGAUGUUACGAAAUUACAGUCGGUUUUCAUACAAUUUCGGAAAGAUGAUGUUACGAUUGUCGUUGUUAACAUAAACUUAUAUCAUAAACAAGAACAUUAUUGAGUUACUUCUUAGAAGACUUUAAGGAUACUAUUCUCUUACCAUUCUCUUCUCUGACUCAUAUAACUGAUUUUUACUCGUGAUAUAAUCUUCAAGGGAAACGACUCACUGAUCGGUUAUCCUUAUAUUUCAGAAUGCAUAAACAAGAAAAUUGCUUCAUAUAUAUAGCUACGAUGAAAAGCACUGCUUACAUAAUCGAAGGAGAUUAUAAGUAGCAAGUACGUCGAUAGAACGCGGCAGAAUGUAACGAACGUCCACGAGUUAUUGAUAUUAUAAUCGUGAUCCAUUUGUGACUUCGAUUAUAACUUUCGAAACUUUCGAAAAUAACGUGCCAGUUUCGACGAUCGCUUGCUUCAUCGAAACGUCGACAUUAACAAUGAAGUUUUUCAUGAAAGUGUUGCUCGCGCUGGUGUUGUUAAUCGUGAUCGUUUUAUCACCAGCGAUUUGUAAAGACGUGAAUGCUGGAGACUAUGAAGAAGACCAAGAUGAAUGGGAUCGUAUAUUGAAUACUACAGAUAAAAAUCCACCGACUACUCCAAGACCCCAGAAUAGUUUGCCGAGAAGUGGUCUCUUUGACGGUUCUAUCCUAAUUUUCCAAGAUCUACCAACAUGCCCAGGAAAUCAACGGCGAGACAAAGAUGGGAAAUGUCGAGUAGUAGAAUAAUUGUAUUUACUAAGGACGCGAAACUUGCUAAGCGUAAAUCGCUAAGAGACUGGUUAUUUAAGGAAAAAUCGGGAAAUAUGACGAGUGAAAUGGGAUAAAUAUUAAUAAUGUCUAACAACGCUGCGAUAGAAAUUUUAUUAGAUUAUAAUUUAUUGUACGUGGAAGACAUUGAACACUUUUCAAACUGUCAGAUUCACAGUUGUGUAUAACAAUAUUUUGCGAAUGGCAGUGAAAUAUAUCGACUCAAAGUGACGCAUGAGAA